Molecule: long non-coding RNA, 3539 nt
Filed under: Citrus maxima (pomelo)
Lineage: Eukaryota; Viridiplantae; Streptophyta; Magnoliopsida; Sapindales; Rutaceae
Description: long non-coding RNA (CMAX_LNC000069)
Source: RNAcentral
CUGGGUCCCAGCUGGGAUCUUCAAAUCAACCAUGCCAUCCACUGUUGGGACCUUUAUGGUAGUCCCCAAAAUUGCAUCUAUAUAUGACACUUUGCAGGUAUAUAAAAUGUUGGUACCAUCACGUUUUAGCACAGGGUCUGGGAUAACUUCAAUAACAACAAAGAGGUCACCAGGAGAACCACCUCUCCUUCCAGCAUUUCCUUCUCCCCGUACUCUUAAACGGCUCUCAGUGUCCACACCAGCAGGAAUUUUCAGACUGAUCCGCUUUGUCCUCCUUACUCGUCCAUCCCCAGAACACGUGUUGCAAGAGGUAGACACUUUCCCGGUCCCACCGCAUGAAGAGCAAGUCAUUACCUGCUGGAAGACACCUAACGGAGUCCUUGCUGAUGAGACUACUUGUCCCUGGCCACCACAGGUACUACAUGUAGAUGGCUUUGCACCAGAACCAUUGCAAGUGCCACAGGUCUCAAGACGUGUUAUCUCAAUCUCCUUUUCAACGCCAAAAACAGCUUCUUUGAAAUUUAUGACAAGGCUGUAAUAUUCAUCUUGUCCAUCAACUGCUCUGCUCCUGGAAGCUCUGCUCCCCAUGCUCCCCAUUCCGCCCAUACCACCCAUGCCCUCAAAUAGUGAUUCAAACAAAUCGAAAGGAUUGCUGAAAUCCUGGCAUGCUCAAGUAGUUGAUCCAAAAUGGAGAAUUAGAAGGGGCCAACAAUAAAUAUAUGCAAUAAUCAGUGGAAAUUUAACUUACCCCCAUGCCCAUACCAGCACCUUUAAGUCCAGCCUCCCCAAAUUUGUCAUUUAAAGAACGUUUCUCAUCAUCUGACAGAACCUGCAGAACAGAAUGGUUGUAUUCCUUAAGAUCAGAUACUUUACACAAUGAACAAAGUUCAAUCAUAAAAUGCAUAACUGAACCUUUUUUACCUCAUAUGCAUUGCUAAUUUCCUUGAGAUGCUGUUCUGCAUUAGGUUCUCUACAUAAUACAAUUAAAUGAUUCCAAAAGUAAGCAAACUUAAUUUUUGGAAGAUUCAUACAAACGAAAUGGUAAGCUUUUUAAGUAUUGUAACUUCCUUUUGAGAUUAUAGAUAAAGAGAAAGAAUGAGAAAGAAUGAGAAAGAAUGAGAAAGAACUUACUUGUUUACAUCCGGGUGAUUGCUAUUUGCAAUACCCCACUAAUUCGUUAACCUGUCGGUCCGACAUCACAGUUAUGCUGUCGAAACUAACAAACACAAUCGACUUCUUUUGCCUUUGAUCAAGCCAUUCCAGACAUUAGAAGUCAUUUCUUUUGCUAGAGAAUAUGUCGUUGUCGGCAUAACCGAUGCAGUUAGCUCAAAAGGGAGUUCAAUGAUUGUUGAAUGAACGAAUUCAGUAGCCGUCGAGCCGACCAGGGCUUGAGAGAUGCGAAACUCUUUCAAGCAAUAAGGGUAGCGGGCCUAUUGUGUAAAUGCGAGGGAAUUUGGUCUAACACUUCGUGUUCAAGCUCAUCAAAUGCGUUUUUUAUUUUUUUUAAGCAUCAAAUGUGUUGAGAAUGAUAGCGAAUGAUUUUAAGCAAUUUUGUAUUUCAUCUUUCAUCUGAUGAAACACGGCUAUAUAUGUCUUCAUCGCAGAUAUGUCCGUACAUACCGUAGUUCUAGAGAUGCGUCGUGUGACAUGUAUUGUGGAACGCAUUUAUUGGCAGCAUACGCGGGGAAAAUUCUUGGGGGCUCGGAUAUAUAACCGUCUAUAUUUUUUAUUUGCCACUAAAUUCUUGCCACGUGGAUCUAUUACCUGCUUCUUACUAGAGAAAUACGCGCGGGUGCGCCUAAGACUCUCCUUGAUGGCAUACGGGAUAAAAUAAAGUGUUUCAUAGACUAGAAAUAUCUUCUUCUUUCUUAAUUCUUCUAUGUACUUUGUCUGUCCACGUCCAUUUAACUUGUAUAUAUACACGUUCGGCCAGUUUUUCUCUUUUUAAUUAUUUGCCGCCCCAUCUUUGUUGAGAUUUUCUACUUUCAAGAAUCAAGAUAAAAAGUUUAAAGCUAACAAUACCUGAAUAAGAAGAGUACCCUGCCGUAAUGCAUACUAUCGUCAUUAUCACGAGGCAGCAGCCCUCAGCAGAGCAUGCCGCAUUAUUUGAUUAAUAGAUCAAGCGAAUAAAAGAAUGAACCACGGGCAUCAAACGAUACCGCUAAGUGCUAAGAGGAGGCCACUAAUAAGAUUUAGGAAAACGAUAAUGAGCAUCUUUCACCCUUACUACCUAACAAAAAAGAAUAAUAUCCAAUGCAUUAUCUGAAGACUGGCCAUCCAAAUGACACAGACUAAACCAAACUAAGCAUUCGAAUGAUUUUUAUGCUUUAGUAAUUUUUGGUGGUGCGCAAUCGAGGGGACACUGGAUCGAGUAUAAUUUCAGAAUUCAUACAACCCCUGAUAAUAAAAUCUAAUGCAUGAAAACAAAGCCAUCCGACAACUCCAUGGGCAUUGACCCCGCCAAAAAAAUAAAAAUAAAAAUACAUAGUUCAGAACAAUUCGAGUAGAAAUACUUGUUCAAGUAUUUAACUUAGAUCCCCAUUGACACAUUGACAGAUAUACAAUUCAUUUCGAGGGAAUGAAUUGUACCCCUGCAGCCAUGAUCAAUAAUCAUUGACUAACGAGCGAAGUAAAUAAAUAAAUAAAACCAUUUCAUCACAAGUGCACAUUCGCAAAAAUCAUCAAGCUGUUGCAAAAUUAAAGGAUGGUAUUAUUGCACAAAAUCUAGUCACACUCCAAAAAAUAAUUAAUAGGUAACUUAUGAAAUCAAGUAAAAAACAAAAUUAAAGAGGGAUGCAUCUCCCAUUUCACCUCCAUUAACCAUUCUCAAAGAUAUCUUCUUGUGGUCAAAAGUAUAGCAAUGUAAUUUCACCUACUACUACAGAAACUUGCUUACCCCAUUUCCUCAGCUCAGACACACUGAGAACUGUCAAAUUCAGAAAUCCCCUUAUCAUGAGCCAUAUAGACUCAGCAAUGACCACCAUAGAAUGAAGAAUGUUUCUUCGGGGUGAGCAACAUAAAUUUGAUAAAUACAAAAAGGCCCAAGCAACUAUCUCCUGCUUGCUGUCUUUCCCUUGCUCAGAUCAGCAAGCUCCUCAAUAAGUUUUCUCUCUUCACUGCUCAAUCUUUUCGGGAUUUCAACUUGGACGCGUACCAACUGAUCUCCUCUCAUGUUGCUUUUAUUUAGUACUGGUACCCCUUUCUUUGCCAUAACAAGUGUUGUGUUCGGCUGGGUCCCAGCUGGGAUCUUCAAAUCAACCAUGCCAUCCACUGUUGGGACCUUUAUGGUAGUCCCCAAAAUUGCAUCUAUAUAUGACACUUUGCAGGUAUAUAAAAUGUUGGUACCAUCACGUUUUAGCACAGGGUCUGGGAUAACUUCAAUAACAACAAAGAGGUCACCAGGAGAACCACCUCUCCUUCCAGCAUUUCCUUCUCCCCGUACUCUUAAACGGCUCUCAGUGUCCACACCAGCAGGAAUUUUCAGACUGAUCCGCUUUGUCCUCCUUACUCGUCCGUCCCCAGAACACGUGUUGCAAGAG